This 78-nucleotide transfer RNA is filed under the name bacterium. RNAcentral's name for it is "tRNA-His". It matches the Rfam family "tRNA". Rfam says of the family: Transfer RNA (tRNA) molecules are approximately 80 nucleotides in length. Their secondary structure includes four short double-helical elements and three loops (D, anti-codon, and T loops). Further hydrogen bonds mediate the characteristic L-shaped molecular structure. tRNAs have two regions of fundamental functional importance: the anti-codon, which is responsible for specific mRNA codon recognition, and the 3' end, to which the tRNAs corresponding amino acid is attached (by aminoacyl-tRNA synthetases). tRNAs cope with the degeneracy of the genetic code in two manners: having more than one tRNA (with a specific anti-codon) for a particular amino acid; and 'wobble' base-pairing, i.e. permitting non-standard base-pairing at the 3rd anti-codon position. The record is from RNAcentral.
GUGGUCGUGGUGUAAAGGUUAACACUCCAGGUUGUGGCCCUGGCGAGUGCGGGUUCGAGUCCCGCCGAUCACCCUCCA